CACAGCUCAGAUUGGCAUGUUGGUGAACUUAUUAGCUUAGAAGUUAGAUUUCACUUUAUUUAUGCCUACAUGAGCUGCAUACAACUGCUCUAAUCGGUAGGAUGUGGACGGACAUUGCAUUUAUUCCCAUUCAGCCGUUGGACUGAACCGUUACUGUAACACAGUAUGGAUGGUCAAUAUGAAGCGAGCUUUAUUGAAUUCCUCCAAGAGCUCUGUACUCCGUUCUGAUCAUUUUGAAGAUGGUUGCUUUGACAGGACUGGGCAAGUGACUCGUCUUAGACAGGAUGCUGUCCCAACCAUGUUUGAUUUCCUGCCUCGUCUUCAGAAGAAUUCAACAAACCAAGGAAUUCCCCGAAAGAAAGAUGUUUUGAUUCAGCAAACAACCUUCCAGAUACUGCAAAGACACCUGUACCAAAGUCUUCAGCACCAUUAUUUCUUAAGGACCACUCCUACUCAAUACCAGAAAGUCCAAGAGGGGUAAAGUGGAAGUUAACAGCAAUAAUGGACUGUAUUAAGAAUUUGGAGAAGAGGCUGAAAACCACACACAAUAAGUCCCGCCGUGUACAUUACUUGCUCUUAAGUUUGGACAAACAUAACUUGCAAAACUUUACAACAAAUAAUUACCACAAUGUGCAUUCUGAUUAUUUAAAAUAGCUCAAUGAAAUAGUUUAUCAGUGGGCAUGUAACAAAAGUGAAUUCAUUAAAUUUUAACGUGUUGCAAAAAUGAUGUCUUACAGUAUAUUCAUUCUGACUUAGCAUGUCAGAAGAGAAAAAAGUUUGUGAAAAGUAGGAAUGAUGGCAAGCUGACAGAAGAAUAGAACAGGAUAGAGCAAGGGGGACAGAUAAAGGACAAGUCCACCCCAAAAAUUGUUGAUUUGAAAAAAAAGAGAAAAAUCCAACAAGCAUAACACUAAAAAUUUGAUAAAAAAUCGGAUGUAAAAUAAAAAAAGUUUUGACAUUUAAAAAUUUUGCUAAAUUUUACAAAAGAGUUAUAUGCACAUUCUGUACACAGUUGGUAUGCAAAUGAGGAGACUGAUGACGUCAUCCACUCACUAUUUCAUUUGAUAUAUAGAAUAGAAUAAGGAAAAUUUUAUUCUUGUCAUGUUUAACAAAAUUUUAUUCCUCCCUGAUCAUGUGGAAUUAGCAUUAUUCAAUACUUUAUGGUUCAGUAAAGUUUGUCCUUAUGGUAAAAUCUGUAAAAAAUGAAAUAUUGUAUAAUUCAAACAAUAAAAAACAAAAUAAACAGUGAGUGAGGGACAUUAUCGACUGUCUCAUUUGCAUGUCACUGAGUUGUGAAUAUUUUUGUUUUGUGAAAAAUAAGCGAAAAUUUAAAAUGCCAUAACUUUCUUAGUUUACAUCCGAUUUUGAUUAAAUUUUCAGCAUUAUGCUAGUUUGAUUUUUCUCUAUUUAACUGAACCAACAUUUUUCUUGGGUAGACUUGACCUUUACUAAUGAGCUGUUGGAUAGAGACAAAAAAGAUUAACUGAGAUUGAGGGUGAUAGAGAAAGAGAGACAGGUGUGGGGGAGCCUUUGAUGAAUGCCUGAGAAAGCGAACAUUACCAUUUUUUUUUUGAGGAUUUGGACAGUAAUGAAUAGUACAUGUUUUUUCUGUUGGUAUUUCUCAAAAUAUGUGUAUGUUGUAUGUAAUGAAAUGGGUAUAAUCAUUUGUAAGAUACACUCAUUCAGAAAAUAUUAACUAAACAAAAAAAAAAGCCAAAUUAUAUUUUACUCAUUAUCAACUGUUCACUCAUAUCAAAAGUACCCCCCCCCCCUCAUUUCAAGGUAUUGGGGAGAGAGAGGUUGGAUGAGAAAUGGAUUGGCUGUCUGCAGAAAAAAAUGAAGGGGGAGCAAAACAUUUUUAGGAUAUGUUCAAGGGAGCGAAGCGACCGAGCAGAAAAAUUAUUCUGGGGAUAUAUGUGAGAGAGCAAAGUGACGAGAAGAACAAAUGCAGGGGCCAAAAUAUUUCGAGAAUAUGUGAGAGGGAGCAAAGUGACCAAGCAGAAGUAAAAGGAAAGAGGGACAAAAAUUGUGGUAUGUGUGAGGGAGCAAAGCAUCCGAUAAAAAAAAAACAGAAAGCAGGUCAAUCAAAUAUUUUUCGAAUUUGUGCUGGUGAGCGACACGUUCACUCCCGAGCUUUUGGGACUUGUUUAAAAAUGGCAUAGGAAAUAUUCGUUUUCUAUAAUCAUGGUAAACUCAUAAUAUGGUAGAAUUUAGGUGUAAGAGUUAAAUUCUGGAUGAACUGUAUUGGCUGGUUAGACAUGCGCAGAGGAUUAUUUGUCUUUAUCCAUUUUUAUUUUCACAUUUUUCUUUUGUUUGAUUUUAUCUUCCAGUGGGUAAGCCCCCCCCCCUUCCCCCCGUUCCUGUGGAUACCAAUGGGGCGGGGGCUUGGAAUAGUGCAAGUCAGAGAAGGUGAAUCUGAAAUUUAUAGAUAUCAAAAGAGAGAGAAAGAAUUGUAAAAUGAAUAAAAACAAAGAUAGAGAGGGGGGAGAGUGAGAAAGCAGGUGAACUUUCGAGGGGCAUUAAAAAGUCUCAGAUUAAAAAAAUAAUUUUUGUUUAUGUAAUUGUUACACAGGGUCAGUCAAAAUAUUUUGGAAUAUGUGCGAGGGAGCGACACAUUCACUCCCGAGCGGUAGGGACUUGUUUUAGGAAAUAUGCGUUUUCUAAGAAUGGUAAACACAUAUUUUAAGGUAAAUUGCCAAGUCGUCUACUGCCAUUCAGUCCACUCACCACAUGGUCUACCUUCAUUUCGUCUAAUGUCAUUUCGUCCAAUAGCAAUUUCGUUUCCCACCCAUUUAGUCUAAUUCUAUUAAGGCUAAUGCCAUCUCGUCCAUUAAUCAGUUCGUCCAAUGUUCAUUUAGUCCAAUAGCCAUAUUGGCUAAUAUCAGUUUGUCUAAUAUCCAAAUUAUCUACUGGACUCGUCUAUCAUUUCGUCCACCACCCAUUAGGUCCAAUAAUCAGUUUGUCUAACAACCAAAUCGCCCAGUUCGUCCAAUUCCCAAAUUGUCCAAUAGUCAUUUAGUCUAAUAGCCAAUUGGUCCAAUAGCCAUGUUGUCUAAUACAAAUACAAUGUAAUGCAAUAUCCGGGGGGGGGGACGAAAUGACUUCUUAAAUAUACCUUGAAAUUACUGAAGAUAAAAAAAAUAUAUAACUAGGCCUGCUAUCAGGAAUGGAAUGAUGCGAUACAGCAUGCAGCCUCCCCCCGCUCUCUCUACCACAUCACGCACACAAAAGGGGGAAUUGGAGUGGUUAUAAUGAUAAAAUUGAAAUAGGGUCCUUUGAUUUGGAAUUUACCCUCAUUUCUUUUUUUUAACAAAUGCACACCUAAAAAUGAUAAUCACUCAUCAUAUAACAAUGAUAAUAAUUGUAAUAAUAGUAAUUAAUGAUAGUACUCAUAAACAAGAAAUGUACUAUAAUAAUAACGAUAACAGCCUUGGACGGUAGAAAACAAAUUAAAAAGAGAGAAAAGUGGGAAAGGAGGGGGAGAACAUUACAUAAAAACAUAAAAUGUAUUACAAUGGAGCUUAAAAAAAGUAAACAAUAAAAAAAGAUUAAUCAAACGACAGGUGUAAAUUAAUAACAAAUCACAAGAGCAACAGGAGUCGAGUUAGCAAUACACAGGCACCGAACUAGAAGGGCUGCUAGUAGUAGACUAUACCUAUUUGAUUGUAGACGAAACGAAUAUUGACCGGGAUGGCAAUUGGACCCAUUGAUGAUUAGACCAAAUGAUUGUUAGACGAAAUGGGUUUAGACUAAGUGACAGUGGAUCAACUGCAGUUGGACAAAAUGGAUCAUAGACAAAAUGUAUGUAGACUAAGUGGUUAUUGGCCAUUUGCCCUUAGACCAAUUAGCUAUUGGACUAAAUGGUAAUAGACAUAAUGAAAAUGGACAAAGUGGCUAUUGGACAAAUUGGCCAAAAAUGCAAUUAGACCAAAUGAAAGUAGACAAAUUGGUUAUUAGACGAAGUAGCUAUUGGACAAAAUGGUAAUUGGAAGAUGUGGAAAAGGAACAACUGAUGGUAGAUGAAAUGACAUACCAUUUGGUGAGUGGACAAAAUGGCAGUAGACGAAAUGGCAAUAAACCUAUGGGCCUAUGGUAGAAUUUAGGUGUUCUACGAGUCAAAUUCUGAAUGAACUGUAUUGGCUGGUAAGACAUGCGCCAAGAAUAUGUGUCUUUUAUCCAUUUUUAUUUUUUCACAUUUCUUUUGUUUGAUUUCAGUUUUCAGGGGAAGCCCCCCCCCCCUCCUGUGGAAGCCAAUGGGACUGGGGCUUAGAAUAGUGCAAGAUAGAAAGGGCAAACCGGAACUUUAGAUAUCAAAAGAGAAACAAAGAAUUGUAAAAUGAAAACAAAGAUAAAGAGAGAGAGCGAGCGGGUGAGCUUUCAAGGGAAGAAAGUCUGAGAUUAGAAACAUCAUUUUCAUUUACUUCUUUAUUAAUUUAUUCUAUUUUAUUUACCCAGAGUAGCCUCUUCAGUACAAAACUGCUUUACAAGAGAGCACUUCACAUCUAAAUGUAUUUAUCAGCAUUAAUAGUUUAUACAUAAUUUUUAAAAUGAGCGCGAAGCUCAGGAUAAUGUUUGAUAUUCCAACCAGAAAAAUUGGAAUUUUAAGCGUAUAAGCCACUGCCCCAUUGGCAUCCACAGGAGGGUGGGCCUUUCCGCCUGGAAACUGAAAUCAAAAGAAAAGUGUGGAAAAUGGAUGAAAGACAAAGAUCCUCUGCGCAUGUCUUACCAGCAAAUGCAGCUCAUUCAGAAUCUAACUCUUAGAGCACCUAAAUUCUACCGUAGGCCUACAAUAUGUGUUUAACAUGCUUAGAAAACGCAUAUUUCCUAAGCUAUUUUUAAACAAGUCCCUACUGCUCAAGAGUGAACGAGUUGCUUCCUCACACAUAUUCGAAAAUAUUUUAACCUGCUUUUUUUAUCGGUUGCUUUGCUCCCUCACAUACCCCAACAAUGUUAUGUCCUCUACAUUUCUUCUGCUUGGUCACUUCGCUCCCUCUCACAUAUUCCCCAAAUCUCUUGUCCCUUGCAUUUUUCUUCUCUGUCAUUUCGCUCUCUCGCAUAUAUUACAAAAUAAUUUUCUGCUGUCGCUUCGUUCCCUUGCACAUGUCCCAAAAAUGUUUUGCCCCCCCCCCCGUAUUUUUUUUUCUGCAGACAGCCAUGUCCCGUUCAUAAUCUCUCUCCAAUACAUUGAAAUGAUGGGGGGGGGGGGGGCUGUUGCACCCACAAAUGUAAUAACGCCCACAAAUGUAAUAACGCCCACAAAUGUAAUAACACUUUACCCACAAAUGUAAUAACGCCCACAAAUGUAAUAACACUUUACCCACAAAUGUAAUAAUUUCACCCACAAAUGUAAUAAUGCACUUUACCCACAAAUGUAAUAAUUUUUGAUCGCCCACAAAUGUAAUAAUGACUUUACCCACAAAUGUAAUAAAUUUGAAGAGAUUUUUGGCGAAUCCGUUCUAAACUUAAAUCCUAUAGUAAUGCAUUCAUAUGGCACAAAAGUGCAAAGUUUUUUUUCCAGACCCGGUUAAUUAAACAUUAUAGUACAAUUCCAAAGUCUUUUUCCAGACCCGGUUGUUUCAAAAUUACAAUAUACGUCCAUAGUCUUUUUUCCAGACCCGGUUAAUUCAAAAAUUAUAAUGCAAGUCCAAAGUCUUUUUUUCAGACCCGGUUGUUUCAAAAAUUAUAAUAUAAGUCCAAAGUCUUUUUCCCAGACCCGGUUGUUUCAAAAAUUAUAAUAUAAGUCCAAAGUCUUUUUUUCAGACCCGGUUAAUUAAAAAAUUAUAAUACAAGUCCAAAGUCUUUUUUCCAGACCCAGUUGUUUAAAAAAAAUAAUAUAAGACAAAAGUCUUUCUCCAGACCCGUUUAUUUCCAAAAUUAUAAUAUAAGUCCAUACUAAUAUACUAUAAUGAUAUUCCAGUGGAAUAAAAAUGAGAAUCGAGCUUAGUCUUUUGUCCAGACCCAAUUCAAUGAAACUAGUGGAAUUAAUGUCUUAGAUGUUGUUUCUACUUAUGCGGCGUAUAUUGUGAAUAUAUGCGCUAAGAGUAAAUUGAGAAUCAAGCGUAGUCUUUUCUCCAGACCUGGUUACUUAAAACUAUAAACUAAACCCUAUAGCAAUGCGUUCAUAUAGCACAAAAGUGCAAAGUCUUUUUUCCAGACCCGGUUAAUUAAACAUUAUAGUACAAGUCCAAUGUCUUUUUCCAGACCCGGUUAUUUCAAAAUAAUAAUAUACGUCCAAAGUCUUUUUUCCAGACCCGGUUAAUUCAAAGAAUUAUAAUGCAAGUCCAAAGUCUUUUUUUCAGACCCAGUUGUUUCAAAAAUUAUAAUAUAAGUCUAAAGUCUUUUUUCCAGACCCGGUUGUUUCAAAAAUUAUAAUAUAAGAACAAAGUCUUUUUUCCAGACCCGGUUGUUUAAAAAAUUAUAAUAUAAGUCAAUACUAAGAUACGAUUUUGAUAUUCCAGUGGAAAAAAGAGAAUCGAGCUUAGUCUUUUUUCCAGACCCGGAUAAUUAAACAAUUACAAUAUAAGUCCAAAGGGUUUCCUCCAGACCUGGCUAUUAAAAAAUGAAUUAAAAAAACUUCAAAUCUAAGACCAAUUUUCCAAAGUUUCACCCAGGAAAAAAAUAUGUCUUUACCCCACACCCAGUUUUUUUUUUAAUAAUACUACGACCCCUACAAAACAUUGUAAUAAUGCAUGGGUAAAGCACACAUCAUUUCUCCAGACUUGGUUAUUAUUUGAAAAAAAUAAAGUUGUUUCUACAAAUAUUCUAAAACGAAUACCCAAUAAUCUAAUUACUGUGGAAUAACUUGAAGACUGAUUGUCAAAGAUCGACUUUCCACCAGACAUAAUUAUUUCAAGAAUAAAAAAUCAAUAAAACCCAACCCCCCAAAACGAAUCUUAGAACCAACAAUCCUCCAAAUUAAGACCAUGUAGAAAAGCACAUGUUUAGAGCGUUGUCUUUAUUCCAUACCCAGUAAUUUAAAAAUGGUUUAAACAAUCUUAAAAACAAAAUACUUUGUCAUAUUCCUAUUCUUGUGGAAUAGCACGAGUAUUAUGCUUAGUCUUUCGUCUAAACCCGGUUAUUUAAAAGAUAAACAAAUAUUGAAAAAAAAAUCACAGCUAAGACCAAUCUUCAAAAUUAAACCCAUUUAAAAUGCUUGGGCUUAGAGGGUUGUCUUUACCCCUCACCCAGUUCUCUUUAAAAUACAAAGUAAGCGAAACAUUAAUCUUAAAACUUAGACCCCAGCAUCUUCCAAACUAUACAACCCUUGUGAUAGCGCAUACUUAAUUUGACCAGACCA
Long non-coding RNA from Lytechinus pictus (painted urchin), 7297 nucleotides. RefSeq lists it as uncharacterized. The record is from RefSeq and is a predicted model, not a curated record. The transcript has 3 exons. Lineage: Eukaryota; Metazoa; Echinodermata; Echinoidea; Temnopleuroida; Toxopneustidae.